UUUUUACAAACUCCGCGCACA
This is a non-coding RNA of Caenorhabditis elegans, 21 nucleotides long. NCBI's taxonomy places the organism in Eukaryota, Metazoa, Nematoda, Chromadorea, Rhabditida, Rhabditidae. The record is from Ensembl.